RNAcentral lists this ribosomal RNA (468 nucleotides) under uncultured bacterium. RNAcentral describes it as "partial 16S ribosomal RNA". It matches the Rfam family "Bacterial small subunit ribosomal RNA", at positions 28 to 507 of the family's 1533-position model. The record is from RNAcentral.
GACGAACGCUGGCGGCGUGCUUAACACAUGCAAGUCGAACGGAAAGGCCCUGCUUUUGUGGUGUGCUCGAGUGGCGAACGGGUGAGUAACACGUGAGUAACCUGCCCUUGACUUUGGGAUAACUUCAGGAAACUGGGGCUAAUACCGGAUAGGAGCUCCUGCUGCGUGGUGGGGGUUGGAAAGUUUCGGCGGUUGGGGAUGGACUCGCGGCUUAUCAGCUUGUUGGUGGGGUAGUGGCUUACCAAGGCUUUGACGGGUAGCCGGCCUGAGAGGGUGACCGGCCACAUUGGGACUGAGAUACGGCCCAGACUCCUACGGGAGGCAGCAGUGGGGAAUAUUGCACAAUGGGCGGAAGCCUGAUGCAGCAACGCCGCGUGCGGGAUGACGGCCUUCGGGUUGUAAACCGCUUUCGCCUGUGACGAAGCGUGAGUGACGGUAAUGGGUAAAGAAGCACCGGCUAACUACGUG